UUAACAGAACUGUGGGGACACAGGCAGAGAGCGUGAGCCGGGAAUGGAAAGACCGGUACAAGCGAGGUAGGAGAAGAGUUGGCAAAUCCGCUCUUUAAUCUGAAGACGUGAUGUGGACUGAAAAUAAGUAGGGAAGCACGUGAGCUGACUGUCAAGAAAAGCCGCUAUUGUUUGCAGGAUACCCGUACCGUAAACCGACACAGGUGGAUGAGGAGAGAAUCCUAAGGCCGACGGGAGAAGCAUUGUUAAGGAACUCGGCAAAAUGACUCCGUAACUUCGGGAGAAGGAGUGCCAGUAAGAUGGCCGCAGAGAAUUGGCCCAAGCAACUGUUUAGCAAAAACACAGGUCUAUGCAAAACCGAAAGGUGAGGUAUAUGGGCUGACGCCUGCCCGGUGCUGGAAGGUUAAGGGGAGAGGUUAGCGCAAGCGAAGCUUUGAACUUAAGCCCCAGUAAACGGCGGCCGUAACGAUAACGGUCCUAAGGUAGCGAAAUUCCUUGUCGGGUAAGUUCCGACCCGCACGAAAGGCGUAAUGAUUUGGGCACUGUCUCAACAAUGCACCCGGUGAAAUUGAAAUACCAGUGAAGAUGCUGGUUACCUGCGCCAGGACGGAAAGACCCCAUGGAGCUUUACUCCAGCUUGAUACUGGGAUUCGGUAUUGCAUGUACAGGAUAGGUGGGAGGCUAGGAAAUGGUAACGCCAGUUGCCAUGGAGCCAAUGUUGGGAUACCACCCUUGCAGUACUGGGUUUCUAACCAGCAGCCGUGAUCCGGCUGGGGGACAAUGUCAGGUGGGGAGUUUGACUGGGGCGGUCGCCUCCGAAAGGGUAUCGGAGGCGCUCAAAGGUUCCCUCAGAAUGGUUGGAAACCAUUCGAAGAGUGCAAAGGCAGAAGGGAGCUUGACUGCGACACCGACGGGUGGAGCAGGUACGAAAGUAGGACUUAGUGAUCCGGUGGUAUAAAGUGGGAUUGCCAUCGCUCAACGGAUAAAAGCUACCCUGGGAUAACAGGCUUAUCACUCCCAAGAGUUCACAUCGACGGAGUGGUUUGGCACCUCGAUGUCGGCUCAUCGCAUCCUGGGGCUGAAGUAGGUCCCAAGGGUUGGGCUGUUCGCCCAUUAAAGCGGUACGCGAGCUGGGUUCAGAACGUCGUGAGACAGUUCGGUCCCUAUCCGGCGUGGGCGUAAGAUAUUUGAGAGGAGCUGUCCUUAGUACGAGAGGACCGGGAUGGACUGGCCGCUGGUGUAUCUGUUGUCUUACCAAAGGCAUAGCAGAGUAGCCAAGCCGGGAAGGGAUAAACGCUGAAGGCAUCUAAGCGUGAAGCCCCCCUCAAGAUGAGAUAUCUCAUAACGUCAAGUUAGUAAGACCCCUUGAAGACGACGAGGUAGAUAGGGCAGAGGUGGAAGUGUGGUAACACAUGGAGCUGACUGUUACUAAUAGGUCGAGGGCAUAACCUA
Molecule: ribosomal RNA, 1452 nt
Filed under: metagenome
Description: bacterial LSU rRNA
Rfam family: Bacterial large subunit ribosomal RNA
Source: RNAcentral